UACAGAGGUGGCAAGCGUUGUUCGGAAUUACUGGGCGUAAAGGGCGAGUAGGUGGCCAUCUAAGUCAGACGUGAAAUCCCCCGGCUUAACCUGGGAACUGCGUCUGAUACUGGACGGCUUGAGUAUGGGAGAGGAACGCGGAAUUCCAGGUGUAGCGGUGAAAUGCGUAGAUAUCUGGAGGAACGCCGGUGGCGAAGGCGGCGUUCUGGACUGCAACUGACACUGAAAAACGAAAGCCAGGGGAGCAAACGGG
This 253-nucleotide ribosomal RNA is filed under the name uncultured bacterium. RNAcentral's name for it is "partial 16S ribosomal RNA". It matches the Rfam family "Bacterial small subunit ribosomal RNA", at positions 524 to 776 of the family's 1533-position model. The record is from RNAcentral.